AUACGUAGGGGGCAAGCGUUAUCCGGAUUUACUGGGUGUAAAGGGAGCGUAGACGGUUUGGCAAGUCUGAUGUGAAAGCCCGGGGCUCAACCGCGGGACUGCAUUGGAAACUGUCAGACUUGAGUGCAGGAGAGGUAAGUGGAAUUCCUAGUGUAGCGGUGAAAUGCGUAGAUAUUAGGAGGAACACCGGUGGCGAAGGCGGCUUCCGGGACUGUAAGUGACGUUGAGGCUCGAAAGGGUGGGGCGAAAACAGGAUUAGAUACCCUGGUAGUCCACGCCGUAAACGAUGAAUGCUAGGUGUCGGGGGGCAAAGCCUUUCGGUGCCGCCGCUAACGCAUUAAGCAUUCCACCUGGGGAGUACGUUCGCAAGAAUGAAACUCAAAUGAAUUGACGGGG
Molecule: ribosomal RNA, 396 nt
Filed under: uncultured bacterium
Lineage: Bacteria
Description: partial 16S ribosomal RNA
Rfam family: Bacterial small subunit ribosomal RNA
Source: RNAcentral